CCUACGGGUGGCAGCAGUGAGGAAUAUUGGUCAAUGGGCGAGAGCCUGAACCAGCCAAGUCGCGUGAAGGAUGAAGGAUCUAUGGUUUGUAAACUUCUUUUAUAUGGGAAUAAAGUGAGGCCCGUGUUCCUUUUUGUAUGUACCAUAUGAAUAAGCAUCGGCUAACUCCGUUCCAGCAGCCGCGGUAAUACGGAGGAUGCGAGCGUUAUCCGGAUUUAUUGGGUUUAAAGGGAGCGUAGGUGGUUAAUUAAGUCAGCGGUGAACGUUUGUGGCUCAACCAUAAAAUUGCCGUUGAAACUGGUUGACUUGAGUAUAUUUGAGGUAGGCGGAAUGCGUGGUGUAGCGGUGAAAUGCAUAGAUAUCACGCAGAACUCCGAUGGCGAAGGCAGCUUACUAAACUAUAACUGACACUGAAGCACGAAAGCGUGGGGAGCAAACAGGAUUAGAUACCCGUGUAGUC
RNAcentral lists this ribosomal RNA (460 nucleotides) under uncultured bacterium. RNAcentral's name for it is "partial 16S ribosomal RNA". It matches the Rfam family "Bacterial small subunit ribosomal RNA", at positions 338 to 795 of the family's 1533-position model. The record is from RNAcentral.